Small nuclear RNA from Amphiprion ocellaris (clown anemonefish), 108 nucleotides. Lineage: Eukaryota; Metazoa; Chordata; Actinopteri; Pomacentridae. The record is from Ensembl.
GUGUUGCAGCUUGUAACACACGUACUAAACUGGGAACGAUACAGAGAAGAUUAGCAUGGCCCCUGGCGCAAGGAUGACACGCACAAUCGUGAAGCGUUCUCACUUUUC